AACGAACGCUGGCGGCGCGCCUAACACAUGCAAGUCGAACGAGAAGGCGUAGCAAUACGCUUGUAGAGUGGCGAACGGGUGAGUAAUACGUGGGUGACCUACCCUCGAGUGGGGAAUAACCCGCCGAAAGGCGGGCUAAUGCCGCGUACGCUUCCGUCCUCACGGGGACGGAAGGAAAGCUGUACCGUGGGUACGGCGCUCAAGGAUGGGCUCACGUCCUAUCAGCUUGUUGGUAGGGUAACGGCCACCAAGGCUACGACGGGUAGCUGGUCUGAGAGGACGAUCAGCCACACUGGCACUGCGACACGGGCCAGACUCCUACGGGAGGCAGCAGUGAGGAAUAUUGCGCAAUGGGCGAAAGCCUGACGCAGCGACGCCGC
This 380-nucleotide ribosomal RNA is filed under the name uncultured bacterium. Its description in RNAcentral is "bacterial SSU rRNA". It matches the Rfam family "Bacterial small subunit ribosomal RNA", at positions 29 to 400 of the family's 1533-position model. The record is from RNAcentral.